Molecule: long non-coding RNA, 333 nt
Organism: Centropristis striata (black sea bass)
Lineage: Eukaryota; Metazoa; Chordata; Actinopteri; Perciformes; Serranidae
Exons: 3
Source: RefSeq, a predicted model, not a curated record
UGUGUGUGUUGUAGUCGGAGAACAGCGACUGAUCUUCGCAGGCAAACAGCUGGAGGACGAUGCUCUGCUGGUUUCAUGUGGAAUCCAAGACAAGACAACCAUUGAGUUAAUUCUAAAUGUCUCUGUCAUCGUGAAAGAUUUGACUGGGAAGACCAUAAAGAUCGACCUACAUGAGUUUGAGAGCGUCUCAGUGCUGCAGCUGAAGGAGAAGUUGGAGCCUCUAACAGGAGAACCAGUAGGAGAACAGCGACUGAUCUUCGCAGGCAAACAGCUGGAGGACGAUGCUCUGCUGGUUUCAUGUGGAAUCCAAGACAAGACAACCAUUGAGUUAAU